Microtus oregoni (creeping vole) is the source of this 218-nucleotide long non-coding RNA. RefSeq lists it as uncharacterized. The record is from RefSeq and is a predicted model, not a curated record. NCBI's taxonomy places the organism in Eukaryota, Metazoa, Chordata, Mammalia, Rodentia, Cricetidae. The transcript has 3 exons.
UCCUUGUUACUUUCCCUUGAAGGACGAGAGGCAUUUUCAUCAGCUCUGCAGCUGACUACUACGGCAAUGAUUGGUCUUCAGGACUGCUAAGUACUUAAAUUGUGACUCUCCAGGACUCAUGAAGAGAAGUUGAAUCUUAUCAAAGGCCUUUUCUGCAUCCUCUGGAGUGCAUACUACAUACAACAGUUCGAUGAUCAGUGCAUCACUAAAGUAUCUCC